This 461-nucleotide ribosomal RNA is filed under the name uncultured bacterium. Its description in RNAcentral is "bacterial SSU rRNA". It matches the Rfam family "Bacterial small subunit ribosomal RNA", at positions 30 to 472 of the family's 1533-position model. The record is from RNAcentral.
AUUGAACGCUGGCGGCAGGCCUAACACAUGCAAGUCGAGCGGAAACGAGUAUCUGAACUUCGGGGACGGAUAACGGCGUCGAGCGGCGGACGGGUGGAGUAAUGCCUAGGAAAUUAGCCCUGAUGUGGGGGAGUAACCAUUGGAAACGAUGGCUAAUACCGCAUAAUGCCUACGGGCCAAAGAGGGGGACCUUCGGGCCUCUCGCGUCAGGAUAUGCCUAGGUGGGAUUAGCUAGUUGGUGAGGUAAUGGCUCACCAAGGCGACGAUCCCUAGCUGGUCUGAGAGGAUGAUCAGCCACACUGGAACUGAGACACGGUCCAGACUCCUACGGGAGGCAGCAGUGGGGAAUAUUGCACAAUGGGCGCAAGCCUGAUGCAGCCAUGCCGCGUGUGUGAAGAAGGCCUUCGGGUUGUAAAGCACUUUCAGUCGUGAGGAAGGUAGUGUAGUUAAUAGCUGCAUUA